This 91-nucleotide non-coding RNA is filed under the name Arthrobacter sp. RNAcentral's name for it is "Glycine sequence". It matches the Rfam family "Glycine riboswitch aptamer". From Rfam's summary of the family: This family represents the bacterial glycine riboswitch. Glycine riboswitches usually consist of two metabolite-binding aptamers domains with similar structures in tandem. Lineage: Bacteria; Bacillati; Actinomycetota; Actinomycetes; Micrococcales; Micrococcaceae. The record is from RNAcentral.
UCACGCGCGGCUGGAGAGUCCCGGACACCACUCGGGCACCGAAGGGGCAAGCACCCGCAAUCUCUCAGGUACCAGGAACAGCCGCGUGAGG